AUUGAACGCUGGCGGCAGGCCUAACACAUGCAAGUCGAGCGGGGUUUUCGGACCUAGCGGCGGACGGGUGAGUAAUGCGUAGGAAGCUGCCCGAUAGAGGGGGAUACCAGUUGGAAACGACUGUUAAUACCGCAUAAUGUCUACGGACCAAAGUGUGGGACCUUCGGGCCACAUGCUAUCGGAUGCGCCUACGUGGGAUUAGCUAGUUGGUGAGGUAAUGGCUCACCAAGGCGACGAUCUCUAGCUGGUUUGAGAGGAUGAUCAGCCACACUGGAACUGAGACACGGUCCAGACUCCUACGGGAGGCAGCAGUGGGGAAUAUUGGACAAUGGGCGCAAGCCUGAUCCAGCCAUGCCGCGUGUGUGAAGAAGGCCUUCGGGUUGUAAAGCACUUUCAGCGAGGAGGAAGGGUGGUGUGUUAAUAGCACAUCAUUUUGACGUUACUCGCAGAAGAAGCACCGGCUAACUCUGUGCCAGCAGCCGCCGUAA
RNAcentral lists this ribosomal RNA (488 nucleotides) under uncultured bacterium. RNAcentral describes it as "partial 16S ribosomal RNA". It matches the Rfam family "Bacterial small subunit ribosomal RNA", at positions 30 to 523 of the family's 1533-position model. The record is from RNAcentral.